Molecule: unclassified non-coding RNA, 423 nt
Filed under: plant metagenome
Description: partial contains 5.8S ribosomal RNA, internal transcribed spacer 2, and large subunit ribosomal RNA
Rfam family: 5.8S ribosomal RNA (bases 1-105)
Source: RNAcentral
GAAAUGCGAUAAGUAAUGUGAAUUGCAGAAUUCAGUGAAUCAUCGAAUCUUUGAACGCACAUUGCGCCCGCCAGCACUCUGGCGGGCAUGCCUGUUCGAGCCCUCGGGCAAGAGCAUGUCUGCCUCAGCGUCGGUUUAUACCCUCAUCCCUCCCAUUUAGUGGGUCGGUUAACUCAAUGUCAGUUAGCCAUAGGGGUGGAUCUGGCCUCCCCAAUUGGUUUGAUUACGAAUUGGGUUGGUUGAAGCACAGAGGCUUAAACAAGGACCCAAUAUGGGCUUCAACUGGAUAGGUAGUUACGGCUGUUGCCGCCUACACGAAGUUGUAGCUUGUGGACUUUGUUAGGGGCCAAGCAGGAAACAUGCUUGAUUGCAUGCCUAAACUUUCGACCUGAGCUCAGGCAAGGCUACCCGCUGAACUUAAGC